RNAcentral lists this ribosomal RNA (501 nucleotides) under uncultured bacterium. Its description in RNAcentral is "partial 16S ribosomal RNA". It matches the Rfam family "Bacterial small subunit ribosomal RNA", at positions 30 to 523 of the family's 1533-position model. The record is from RNAcentral.
AUUGAACGCUGGCGGCAGGCUUAACACAUGCAAGUCGAGCGGAGCGAGGGUGCUUGCACCUUAGCUUAGCGGCGGACGGGUGAGUAAUGCUUAGGAAUCCGCCUAUUAGUGGGGGACAACAUUCCGAAAGGGAUGCUAAUACCGCAUACGCCCUACGGGGGAAAGCAGGGGAUCUUCGGACCUUGCGCUAAUAGAUGAGCCUCAGUCGGAUUAGCUAGUUGGUGGGGUAAAGGCCUACCAAGGCGACGAUCUGUAGCGGGUCUGAGAGGAUGAUCCGCCACACUGGGACUGAGACACGGCCCAGACUCCUACGGGAGGCAGCAGUGGGGAAUAUUGGACAAUGGGCGGAAGCCUGAUCCAGCCAUGCCGCGUGUGUGAAGAAGGCCUUUUGGUUGUAAAGCACUUUAAGCGAGGAGGAGGCUACUAGUAUUAAUACUACUGGAUAGUGGACGUUACUCGCAGAAUAAGCACCGGCUAACUCUGUGCCAGCCGCCGCUGUAA